GCGGAAGCCUGAUGCAGCGACGCCGCGUGAGGGAUGACGGCCUUCGGGUUGUAAACCUCUUUCAGCAGGGACGAAGCGUAAGUGACGGUACCUGCAGAAGAAGCGCCGGCCAACUACGUGCCAGCAGCCGCGGUAAGACGUAGGGCGCGAGCGUUGUCCGGAUUUAUUGGGCGUAAAGAGCUCGUAGGCGGCUUGUCGCGUCGACUGUGAAAACCCGCAGCUCAACUGCGGGCCUGCAGUCGAUACGGGCAGGCUAGAGUUCGGUAGGGGAGACUGGAAUUCCUGGUGUAGCGGUGAAAUGCGCAGAUAUCAGGAGGAACACCGGUGGCGAAGGCGGGUCUCUGGGCCGAUACUGACGCUGAGGAGCGAAAGCGUGGGGAGCGAACAGGAUUAGAUACCCUGGUAGUCCACGCUGUAAACUUGGGCGCUAGGUGUGGGGGGCCUCUCCGGUUCCCUGUGCCGCAGCUAACGCAUUAAGCGCCCCGCCUGGGGGGUACGGCCGCAAGGCUAAAACUCAAAGGAAUUGACGG
This 530-nucleotide ribosomal RNA is filed under the name Micromonospora terminaliae. RNAcentral's name for it is "bacterial SSU rRNA". It matches the Rfam family "Bacterial small subunit ribosomal RNA", at positions 375 to 916 of the family's 1533-position model. Lineage: Bacteria; Bacillati; Actinomycetota; Actinomycetes; Micromonosporales; Micromonosporaceae. The record is from RNAcentral.